UACGUAGGCAGCAAGCGUUGUUCGGAGUUACUGGGCGUAAAGCGUGCGCAGGCGGCUUUGCAAGACAGAUGUGAAAUCCCCGGGCUCAACCUGGGAACUGCAUUUGUGACUGCAAGGCUAGAGUACGGUAGAGGGGGAUGGAAUUCCGCGUGUAGCAGUGAAAUGCGUAGAUAUGCGGAGGAACACCGAUGGCGAAGGCAAUCCCCUGGACCUGUACUGACGCUCAUGCACGAAAGCGUGGGGAGCAAACAGG
RNAcentral lists this ribosomal RNA (253 nucleotides) under uncultured bacterium. RNAcentral's name for it is "partial 16S ribosomal RNA". It matches the Rfam family "Bacterial small subunit ribosomal RNA", at positions 524 to 776 of the family's 1533-position model. The record is from RNAcentral.